GAUGAACGCUGGCGGCGUGCCUAAUACAUGCAAGUCGAGCGAACGGACGAGAAGCUUGCUUCUCUGAUGUUAGCGGCGGACGGGUGAGUAACACGUGGAUAACCUACCUAUAAGACUGGGAUAACUUCGGGAAACCGGAGCUAAUACCGGAUAAUAUUUUGAACCGCAUGGUUCAAAAGUGAAAGACGGUCUUGCUGUCACUUAUAGAUGGAUCCGCGCUGCAUUAGCUAGUUGGUAAGGUAACAGCUUACCAAGGCAACGAUGCAUAGCCGACCUGAGAGGGUGAUCGGCCACACUGGAACUGAGACACGGUCCAGACUCCUACGGGAGGCAGCAGUAGGGAAUCUUCCGCAAUGGGCGAAAGCCUGACGGAGCAACGCCGCGUGAGUGAUGAAGGUCUUCGGAUCGUAAAACUCUGUUAUUAGGGAAGAACAUAUGUGUAAGUAACUGUGCACAUCUUGACGGUACCUAAUCAGAAAGCCACGGCUAACUACGUGCCAGCAGCCGCGGUAAUACGUAGGUGGCAAGCGUUAUCCGGAAUUAUUGGGCGUAAAGCGCGCGUAGGCGGUUUUUUAAGUCUGAUGUGAAAGCCCACGGCUCAACCGUGGAGGGUCAUUGGAAACUGGAAAACUUGAGUGCAGAAGAGGAAAGUGGAAUUCCAUGUGUAGCGGUGAAAUGCGCAGAGAUAUGGAGGAACACCAGUGGCGAAGGCGACUUUCUGGUCUGUAACUGACGCUGAUGUGCGAAAGCGUGGGGAUCAAACAGGAUUAGAUGCCCUGGUAGUCCACGCCGUAAACGAUGAGUGCUAAGUGUUAGGGGGUUUCCGCCCCUUAGUGCUGCAGCUAACGCAUUAAGCACUCCGCCUGGGGAGUACGACCGCAAGGUUGAAACUCAAAGGAAUUGACGGGGACCCGCACAAGCGGUGGAGCAUGUGGUUUAAUUCGAAGCAACGCGAAGAACCUUACCAAAUCUUGACAUCCUUUGACAACUCUAGAGAUAGAGCCUUCCCCUUCGGGGGACAAAGUGACAGGUGGUGCGUGGUUGUCGUCAGCUCGUGUCGUGAGAUGUUGGGUUAAGUCCCGCAACGAGCGCAACCCUUAAGCUUAGUUGCCAUCAUUAAGUUGGGCACUCUAAGUUGACUGCCGGUGACAAACCGGAGGAAGGUGGGGAUGACGUCAAAUCAUCAUGCCCCUUAUGAUUUGGGCUACACACGUGCUACAAUGGACAAUACAAAGGGCAGCGAAACCGCGAGGUCAAGCAAAUCCCAUAAAGUUGUUCUCAGUUCGGAUUGUAGUCUGCAACUCGACUACAUGAAGCUGGAAUCGCUAGUAAUCGUAGAUCAGCAUGCUACGGUGAAUACGUUCCCGGGUCU
RNAcentral lists this ribosomal RNA (1372 nucleotides) under uncultured bacterium. RNAcentral describes it as "bacterial SSU rRNA". It matches the Rfam family "Bacterial small subunit ribosomal RNA", at positions 28 to 1381 of the family's 1533-position model. The record is from RNAcentral.